UCAUAAUGCGUGGGUCAACAGAUUCGCUGACCUGGAACACUGAAUGUGUAUGACAAGCAUGAAGCACUCAGAAGCCUCAGUGAAAUCCAACCAAGAACCUUGGUUAAUGGUUUCGAUGAAAACAAACUUUAUGGAACCAAGUGAUGGUGAACUGUGCUUGGGUGGGCAGAAGCUGGAGGAAGCUCUCAUGGAUGCUAAAAACGAUACUGCAAUACUAGUAUGUAAAUCAUUCGUCUGACUUUUGCUGUAAGGGUGAAAUACUGAUCGGGUCAUACUAGGUGCCCCCCUAAAUUUUUUCCCUAAGAACCACUGUUGUCAGUUCAAGUUUUACCAAGCAAAGUAAAUAAUUAGAGGCACUAAUGGUCCACCGUUUAUUCUAUAACUGUAUAUAAUUAAGACAGUUUGGUUGCCUUGAUGUGCCUGCAUGUUGGAGUUUAUAGCUGCAAAUAUGGCAUUUUUGGUAGGCACAAAUUGUGUGGGAUGAACCAAAAGCUGGAUUAUGCUACAAAGCUAUGUUGCACCGGCACUUCACAAACAUGUCGUAUUCUGCAGGCAUAUGCGGGUCACAUCAGAU
Triticum aestivum (bread wheat) is the source of this 574-nucleotide non-coding RNA. The record is from Rfam. NCBI's taxonomy places the organism in Eukaryota, Viridiplantae, Streptophyta, Magnoliopsida, Poales, Poaceae.